RNAcentral lists this long non-coding RNA (355 nucleotides) under Fragaria vesca (wild strawberry). Its description in RNAcentral is "long non-coding RNA (FVES_LNC005047)". Lineage: Eukaryota; Viridiplantae; Streptophyta; Magnoliopsida; Rosales; Rosaceae. The record is from RNAcentral.
GACUAUAGCCGACGAAAAUAUAAUUUCGUCGGCUAAAGUUCUUUAUAUUCGCAGAUCUGGACAGCAGCUCAUCUGAGAAAAGAAAACGGGAGAAAAAAAAACGGGAGAAAAAAGUUUUGGGUGUUGUUGAAAUCUGUCCAUUAUUAAGAAGUGGAGCUAUAUAUAGGUACGUACAUGUGUAUAUAUGUUGAUUUUGAGUUUUAUUUGAGUUAUUGAUCGAUUUUGAGUGUGAUUAAAUUGAUAGAUUUUGAGUAUAUGUUUGAUGUAUAUAUAUAUAUAUGUGUGUUGAUCGAUUUGGUUGAUGAUUUGAUAAUAUAUAUGAAGUUGUUGUUAAUUAUAAGUAGCUAAUAGAUAU